This 86-nucleotide transfer RNA is filed under the name Candidatus Yanofskybacteria bacterium RIFCSPHIGHO2_12_FULL_45_19b. RNAcentral describes it as "tRNA-Tyr". It matches the Rfam family "tRNA". From Rfam's summary of the family: Transfer RNA (tRNA) molecules are approximately 80 nucleotides in length. Their secondary structure includes four short double-helical elements and three loops (D, anti-codon, and T loops). Further hydrogen bonds mediate the characteristic L-shaped molecular structure. tRNAs have two regions of fundamental functional importance: the anti-codon, which is responsible for specific mRNA codon recognition, and the 3' end, to which the tRNAs corresponding amino acid is attached (by aminoacyl-tRNA synthetases). tRNAs cope with the degeneracy of the genetic code in two manners: having more than one tRNA (with a specific anti-codon) for a particular amino acid; and 'wobble' base-pairing, i.e. permitting non-standard base-pairing at the 3rd anti-codon position. The record is from RNAcentral. Lineage: Bacteria; Candidatus Yanofskyibacteriota.
GGGCGGUUCGUAUAGCGGCAAUUACUCGUGGCUGUAGACCACGCGGCCUUUGGCCUUCGGGGGUUCGAGUCCCUCACCGCCCACCA